RNAcentral lists this ribosomal RNA (545 nucleotides) under uncultured bacterium. RNAcentral's name for it is "bacterial SSU rRNA". It matches the Rfam family "Bacterial small subunit ribosomal RNA", at positions 365 to 917 of the family's 1533-position model. The record is from RNAcentral.
ANUGCAAUGGGCGAAGCCUGAUGCAGCAACGCCGCGUGGGGGAUGAAGCUUCUCGGAGUGUAAACCCCUUUCGACCCGGACGAAUGUCCGCAAGGACUUGACGGUACGGGUAUAAGAAGCCCCGGCUAACUACGUGCCAGCAGCCGCGGUAAAACGUAGGGGGCCAGCGUUGCUCGGAAUUACUGGGCGUAAAGGGUCCGUAGGCGGUGCGGCAAGUCGGAAGUGAAAUCUCUGGGCUUAACUCAGAGGCUGCUUCCGAAACUGCCGUGCUCGAGUGCGAGAGAGGCGAGUGGAAUUGCGGGUGUAGCGGUGAAAUGCGUAGAUAUCCGCAGGAACAUCCGAGGCGAAAGCGGCUCGCUGGAUCGCAACUGACGCUGAGGGACGAAAGCUAGGGGAGCAAACAGGAUUAGAUACCCUGGUAGUCCUAGCCCUAAACCAUCAGGACUUGGGGUUUGCCCUGUACGGGGCAAGUCCCGUAGCUAACGCGUUAAGUCCUGCGCCUGGGGAGUACGGUCGCAAGGCUGAAACUCAAAAAAAUUGACGGA